Molecule: ribosomal RNA, 440 nt
Filed under: uncultured bacterium
Lineage: Bacteria
Description: partial 16S ribosomal RNA
Rfam family: Bacterial small subunit ribosomal RNA
Source: RNAcentral
CCUACGGGGGGCAGCAGUGGGGAAUAUUGCACAAUGGGGGAAACCCUGAUGCAGCGACGCCGCGUGAGUGACGAAGCACCUCGGCUCGUAAAGCUCUAUCAGCAGGGAAGAAAAUGACGGUACCUGACUAAGAAGCCCCGGCUAACUACGUGCCAGCAGCCGCGGUAAUACGUAGGGGGCAAGCGUUAUCCCGAUUUACUGGGUGUAAAGGGAGCGCCGGCGGCGCGGGAAGGCAGGUGUGAAAGCCCGGGGCUCAACCCCGGGACUGCUUUGGAAACUGCCGGGCUGGAGUGUAGGAGGGGCAAGUGGAAUUCCUGGUGUAGCGGUGAAAUGCGUAGAUAUCAGGAGGAACACCAGUGGCGAAGGCGGCUUGCUGGACGACAACUGACGCUGAGGCUCGAAAGCGUGGGGAGCAAACAGGAUUAGAUACCCUAGUAGUC